Molecule: unclassified non-coding RNA, 138 nt
Filed under: soil metagenome
Description: partial internal transcribed spacer 1
Source: RNAcentral
CCUAGAGUUGUAGGCUUUGCCUGCUAUCUCUUUCCCAUGUCUUUUGAGUACCUUCGUUUCCUCGGCGGGUCCGCCCGCCGAUUGGACAAUUUAAACCAUUUGCAGUUGCAAUCAGCGUCUGAAAAAACUUAAUAGUUA